This 521-nucleotide transfer RNA is filed under the name uncultured Prochlorococcus sp. Its description in RNAcentral is "partial 16S-23S ribosomal RNA intergenic spacer". The stretch from base 209 to 281 matches the Rfam family "tRNA". Lineage: Bacteria; Bacillati; Cyanobacteriota; Cyanophyceae; Synechococcales; Prochlorococcaceae. The record is from RNAcentral.
CAGGGAGACAACAAAAUGUUAAUAUUAUUAUUUGUCACCUUAGGUCGAUCGGUACCUCACGUUCUUAAUUUAUUAAGAAUUUUAUUUCCUAAGUUUUCUAGGUCACACCCAUUAUUUUUCCUGGGCCAUUAGCUCAGGUGGUUAGAGCGCACCCCUGAUAAGGGUGAGGUCCCUGGUUCAAGUCCAGGAUGGCCCAUAUCUCUAUGUUGGGGGUAUAGCUCAGUUGGUAGAGCGCCUGCUUUGCAAGCAGGAUGUCAGCGGUUCGAGUCCGCUUACCUCCACUGAUUACCACCUCUUCCAUGGUUUGAAAAAGGAAAUUUUUUGAGUUGUGAUCAAAAUUCUGAACGAUUCUAGCUUCCUAAUGAAUUCAUUAAGAUGCUGGACUCAUUGAUUAAUUUCAUUGUUUUCAGAGAACCUUGACAACUGCAUAGAUUAUUUUAAAGACAAUAAGCAUCUUUAAUGAUGCAGAUUUAUUAUUUGUGCGAAUGCAUUAAUAACAAUUCUAUUAAGCUGAUGCUUCA